Molecule: RNase P RNA, 390 nt
Filed under: Rhodospirillaceae bacterium
Lineage: Bacteria; Pseudomonadati; Pseudomonadota; Alphaproteobacteria; Rhodospirillales; Rhodospirillaceae
Also listed under: 1 other name
Description: RNase P RNA component class A
Rfam family: Bacterial RNase P class A
About the family: Ribonuclease P (RNase P) is a ubiquitous endoribonuclease, found in archaea, bacteria and eukarya as well as chloroplasts and mitochondria. Its best characterised activity is the generation of mature 5'-ends of tRNAs by cleaving the 5'-leader elements of precursor-tRNAs.
Source: RNAcentral
UCAGAUGGCCGGAUGGCUGCUGCCCGCAUCGCCUGCGAUGGGGGGAGAGGAAAGUCCGGGCUCCACAGGAUCGGGAUGCCGGGUAACCCCCGGCGGGGGCAACCCCAGGGAAAGUGCCGCAGAAAACAAACCGCCAGCCGGGUUUCGACCGGGGCUGGUAAGGGUGAAAAGGUGCGGUAAGAGCGCACCGCCAGGCCGGUAACGGGCUGGGCAGGGUAAACCCCAUCCGGAGCAAGACCAUGUAGGGACACGCGCCGCCUUCGGGCGGCAGGCGCGAUCCUGCGCCGCUGUCCGGGUAGGUCGCUCGACGCUGCUGGCAACAGCCGCGCUAGAUGAAUAGCCAUCACCCGCGUGCGGGAACAGAACCCGGCUUACAGGCCAUCUGACAGC